CCCUCCCCCUUUCUUCAUGCCUAACACAUGCAAGUCGAACGAACCCUUCGGGGUUAGUGGCGCACGGGUGCGUAACGCGUGGGAAUCUGCCCUUUGCUUCGGAAUAACUCAGGGAAACUUGUGCUAAUACCGGAUGAUGUCUUCGGACCAAAGAUUUAUCGGCAAGGGAUGAGCCCGCGUAGGAUUAGGUAGUUGGUGGGGUAAAGGCCUACCAAGCCGACGAUCCUUAGCUGGUCUGAGAGGAUGAUCAGCCACACUGGGACUGAGACACGGCCCAGACUCCGACGGGAGGCAGCAGUGGGGAAUAUUGGACAAUGGGCGCAAGCCUGAUCAAGCAAUGCCGCGUGAGUGAUGAAGGCCGUUGGGUCGUAAAGCUCUUUUACCAGGGAUGAUAAUGACAGUACCUGGAGAAUAAGCUCCGGCUAACUCCGUG
This 433-nucleotide ribosomal RNA is filed under the name uncultured bacterium. RNAcentral describes it as "partial 16S ribosomal RNA". It matches the Rfam family "Bacterial small subunit ribosomal RNA", at positions 36 to 507 of the family's 1533-position model. The record is from RNAcentral.